RNAcentral lists this ribosomal RNA (433 nucleotides) under uncultured bacterium. RNAcentral describes it as "partial 16S ribosomal RNA". It matches the Rfam family "Bacterial small subunit ribosomal RNA", at positions 29 to 507 of the family's 1533-position model. The record is from RNAcentral.
AACGAACGCUGGCGGCAUGCCUAACACAUGCAAGUCGAACGAGACCUUCGGGUCUAGUGGCGCACGGGUGCGUAACGCGUGGUAACCUGCCCUUAGGUUCGGAAUAACUCCCCGAAAGGGGUGCUAAUACCGGCUAAUGUCUUCGGACCAAAGAUUUAUCGCCUUUGGAUGGGCCCGCGUUGGAUUAGCUAGUUGGUAGGGUAAAAGCCUACCAAGGCGACGAUCCAUAGCUGGUCUGAGAGGAUGAUCAGCCACACUGGGACUGAGACACGGCCCAGACUCCUACGGGAGGCAGCAGUGGGGAAUAUUGGACAAUGGGCGAUAGACUGAUCCAGCAAUGCCGCGUGAGUGAUGAAGGCCUUAGGGUUGUAAAGCUCUUUUACCCGUGAUGAUAAUGACAGUACCGGGAGAAUAAGCUCCGGCUAACUCCGUG